AAUGCAGGCAUGAGUAGCGAAAGAAGAGUGAGAAACUCUUCCGCCGAAUGACCAAGGGUUCCUGGGCCAGGCUAAUCCGCCCAGGGUGAGUCGGGACCUAAGGCGAGGCCGACAGGCGUAGUCGAUGGACAACGGGUUGAUAUUCCCGUACCCGUGUAUCCGCGCCCAUGCUGAAUCAGUUGUACUAACCAUCCAGAUCCCCCAGGAGCACCUUCGGGUGCCGGGUGGGGUGAUGCAUGGGACCUUGGCUGGUAGUAGGCAAGCGAUGGGGUGACGCAGGAAGGUAGUGGGGCCAGUCAGUGGUUGUACUGGUGUAAGCCUGUAGGGCGUGUUCUAGGCAAAUCCGGAACACAUAUAGCCUGAGAGGUGAUGCGUAGCCGUUGCGGCGAAUUCCAUGAUCCUAUGCUGCCGAGAAAAGCCUCUAGUGAGUUGGUACACGGCCCGUACCCCAAACCAACACAGGUGGUCAGGUAGAGAAUACUAAGGCGAUCGAGAGAACUGUGGUUAAGGAACUCGGCAAAAUGCCCCCGUAACUUCGGGAGAAGGGGGACCCAGACCGGUGACGAGAUUUACUCUCUGAGCGGGUGUGGGUCGCAGAGACCAGAGAGAAGCGACUGUUUACUAAAAACACAGGUCCGUGCGAAGUCGUAAGACGAUGUAUACGGACUGACGCCUGCCCGGUGCUGGAAGGUUAAGAGGACCGGUUAGUCACCUUUGGGUGGCGAAGCUGAGAAUUUAAGCCCCAGUAAACGGCGGUGGUAACUAUAACCAUCCUAAGGUAGCGAAAUUCCUUGUCGGGUAAGUUCCGACCUGCACGAAUGGCGUAACGACUUCUCUGCUGUCUCAACCACAGACUCGGCGAAAUUGCAGUACGAGUAAAGAUGCUCGUUACGCGCGGCAGGACGAAAAGACCCCGGGACCUUCACUAUAGCUUGGUAUUGGUGUUCGGUUCGGUUUGUGUAGGAUAGGUGGGAGACUGUGAAGUGGGCACGCCAGUGUUCAUGGAGUCGUUGUUGAAAUACCACUCUGAUCGUAUUGGACUUCUAACCUCGGACCCUGAUCGGGUUCAGGGACAGUGCCUGGUGGGUAGUUUAACUGGGGCGGUUGCCUCCUAAAAAGUAACGGAGGCGCCCAAAGGUUCCCUCAGCCUGGUUGGCAAUCAGGUGUUGAGUGUAAGUGCACAAGGGAGCUUGACUGUGAGACGUACAUGUCGAGCAGGGACGAAAGUCGGGACUAGUGAUCCGGCACCGGCAAGUGGAAGCGGUGUCGCUCAACGGAUAAAAGGUACCCCGGGGAUAACAGGCUGAUCUUCCCCAAGAGUCCAUAUCGACGGGAUGGUUUGGCACCUCGAUGUCGGCUCGUCGCAUCCUGGGGCUGGAGUAGGUCCCAAGGGUUGGGCUGUUCGCCCAUUAAAGCGGCACGCGAGCUGGGUUUAGAACGUCGUGAGACAGUUCGGUCUCUAUCCGCCGCGCGCGUAAGAAACUUGAGGAAACCUGUCCCUAGUACGAGAGGACCGGGACGGACGAACCUCUGGUGUGCCAGUUGUCCCGCCAGGGGCACUGCUGGUUAGCUACGUUCGGAAGGGAUAACCGCUGAAAGCAUCUAAGCGGGAAGCCUGUUCCAAGAUGAGGUUUCUCACCCCCUUUU
Molecule: ribosomal RNA, 1647 nt
Filed under: Gordonia alkanivorans s104
Lineage: Bacteria; Bacillati; Actinomycetota; Actinomycetes; Mycobacteriales; Gordoniaceae
Description: bacterial LSU rRNA
Rfam family: Bacterial large subunit ribosomal RNA
Source: RNAcentral